Molecule: ribosomal RNA, 233 nt
Filed under: uncultured bacterium
Lineage: Bacteria
Description: partial 16S ribosomal RNA
Rfam family: Bacterial small subunit ribosomal RNA
Source: RNAcentral
GAAAUCAUGGCUCAGGAUGAACGCUAGCUACAGGCUUAACACAUGCAAGUCGAGGGGCGAGCAUGACGAUAGCUUGCUAUUGUUGAUGGCGACCGGCGCACGGGUGAGUAACGCGUAUCCAACCUUCCCGUUGCUAGGGGAUAACCUUGCGAAAGUAAGACUAAUACCCUAUGAUGUUCUUCGCAGGCAUCUAAAGAGAACCAAAGAUUUAUCGGCAACGGAUGGGGAUGCGU